Long non-coding RNA from Megalobrama amblycephala (Wuchang bream), 1611 nucleotides. RefSeq lists it as uncharacterized. Lineage: Eukaryota; Metazoa; Chordata; Actinopteri; Cypriniformes; Xenocyprididae. The record is from RefSeq and is a predicted model, not a curated record. The transcript is spliced from 6 exons.
AGCAAGAGACUACCGGUAAUCCAAAGAGUAGCAGUCGAGCUAUUAAGAGAUCUGAUUUGUAAUUGAUUUGUCUCUUUCUGAUUUUUUUGAUGUAUUAAUGUAGUUAUUAUUUUGUGCCACAUACUGUCCACUAACCCAAAACCCUUCAAACUUCAAUUUUCAGUCCAACUCAAAGCGAGCGUGAAGUGCAGAGGUGGAUGCUGGUGUAAUCCAUCCCAUAUGUUGGCUUUCCUGAAAGCACACAUAUAAAAUCCCACUCUUGUGGAGGGACCCUACGCCGAGCCUGUGAGUAAUGCCACCAGUUUGACUCUUUUGCAGCAAGCCUGGGCCAAGCUAAUGAAUAACGAUGGCUACACACAAACCUCUUCCUCAGGAUUUGAAAGAUGUGUUCUCCACAACAUUAUAGCCAGCAGCAAACAGAGUUGUUUCUCUGCAAAACAGAAAAGGCUGUGUGUGUUUGUGUUUUAACAGAUUGCAUACUGUUGAUUUAUUUCAUAACUUUUAAAGUGAGGUGAUGCUGCCGCCCACAGUCUCGGCCCUGUUGUUUCUGUUUCUCUUCACUCUGUCUGAGUUUUCUCUUCAUCAAAUGAAAAACAGAAGAAGCAGGACCACCAUACAGCACUGGGUCUGUGGGAGGCUUUGAAAGCAGUCCAGGUGUCACAAAUGAGACAGAGCAACACACUGUGGAUUGGUUUAGGAAAGUGGGAGGAUGGCCCCCGAAGCCCCUGGCAGCCCGACGCUGCCAUCAUCUCCGUAACUGGCAGCUAUAUUGUCCACAGUAGCAGCUGUGACUCGCCUCGGGGACGGAGCGCUUGUCUCACCGCACAUGGUCACAACAAUGAAAGUCACAUGGGUUUGGAAUUGACAUGAGAGAGCUACGAGCCAGAAGCAGGAAACAGGCUGAUGAGAUUUGCACAGUGUGCUGUUAUUGGCUCGAACAAUGGGGCUGAACAGACGAGAGCGGCCCAGUGAUUCCUCACCGUCAGGCGGUAUCCACAGCAGAGUGAAGGGAAGCAGGACCUGGAGGUGACGUCAAAUUACCCCGAGUUCAGAAGUCGAAUGUCCUACUUUGAGUGGCAUUCCAGACGUUCUUUCCAAGAAGAGGUCUACAAAGAUGGUGAGAAAGUCCCAGAGAGGAGAACAGAGCGCAGUGGUGCCAGAGCAGUUUCCAUGACUCCCCUGCAGAAAGCCAGCGAUGCUGUAGCGAUGAGUUGCAGCGAACAUGACAGUGUGGUGGGUUUGGUCUGUUAUUAUUGUAACUUCCUGUGGCUAACCACUGUGCUGCGGGUGUGUACACACUGACACACAAACGAUCAGACACCUGAGAUGUUCUCGGGAGUCCUGAUGACUGAUAAAACCAAACCCAACAGGGCAUUUCCAUUUGAAAGUGUCCAUGUUUAAGCAGGAAAAGGGCUACCUUAUAUUUCCCACCCUUAUUACCUUAGCAACAAGCAACCAAUGCUAUAAUAUUAAUAUCAACUUACUAGGUGUUCAAAUUAAAUCUCACCCAGUUUAAUGCAUUUUUAAUAUAAUAAUAAUAAUAAUAAUAGCGAGUUUAAUUUAUAUAGUGCCUUUCAAUAGCUUUACAGUUGAGAUACAACAAAGAAAACA